This is a non-coding RNA of Aedes aegypti (yellow fever mosquito), 117 nucleotides long. NCBI's taxonomy places the organism in Eukaryota, Metazoa, Arthropoda, Insecta, Diptera, Culicidae. The record is from Rfam.
UGCCCAGCAACUCCUAUCCCUACCUCCUCGUGGUACUGGCCGGGGUACGAGUAACCUUAGGGAAGAUCGGGUAACCAACCCCCGGUGGGAACUUUGGUCGUAUGCUGACAGGGAAGG